This is a long non-coding RNA of Betta splendens (Siamese fighting fish), 2820 nucleotides long. RefSeq lists it as uncharacterized. The transcript is spliced from 3 exons. NCBI's taxonomy places the organism in Eukaryota, Metazoa, Chordata, Actinopteri, Anabantiformes, Osphronemidae. The record is from RefSeq and is a predicted model, not a curated record.
CUUCAUUUAGAGGAGGAGCUGGAAAUGAUGACGCGUGAAGCCUCUCUGCCUGGCUGUACCACGUGACAUUUAUACGUACACCUGCACGAGUAAUUUUUUCAAUUUCCACCACACGGACUUUCUCAGUGCUCUGAGGACCACCACCUGCCAAUGGCUUCAAACUUGGCAACCAGUCCUUUAGUGGCAGACUGGCCUCUCGCUGUCAGGAAAGGAAUUCUGCCCCUCCUCACCUUGGUGCUCCACCUUCCGGAUCACCCUCCUCUCACAAUAUCGACAUCCGUCAAGGGCACCAGCCCUGUACUCAACCCUGAAGACGUAUGGCACCAGCUCCUCCAGCCAGCAUACAAUCUGUCUUUCUGGCUCCUCAUCAAUCACUGGAGUGCAGAGUGAUCGGUCCGAACAGCAAAGGGCCACACAGACGGAAAAGAAGCACAGCUAUACAAGAGAAGCCACUCACAAACCGCCUGUUGUAGGGCGCUAGACCAAUGAAGCUCUUCAGCUCUCUCAGGUUGUUGGGGGUGGGCCAGUCCUUCACCACCUGCACUUUGUCUUCCAAGGUGCUGACCCCUUCUCCCCCAAUCCUGUGCCCCAGAAACUCCAGUUUCGUCCUCAUGAAACAGCAAUUAUCCAGGUGAAGCCUCUGUAGAACACCCUCUCCAUCACAUGUUCAAAUGUGGCUGGUGCAUUGCAUAGGCCGAAGCAGAGGACACAGAACUGCUACAACCCUCUGCCUUCACAGAAAGCAGUCUUUAGCCUGACCUCAGGGCUGAGGGGCACCUGCCAAUAUCCACUGCUUAGAUCUAAUGAGGGAACCAAGAGGAGCCUGCUACCAGGUCCAGAGACACAUCUAUGCGGGGCAGUGGAUAUGAGUCUUGUUUGUCACACUGUUCAGUGGUCUGUAGUCGACACAAAGCCUCGUCUUCGCACUUUUCUUCUUGUUAACCAUCACAACCUCGAGGCCCAUGUCCUCUUCUGUCAGUGCAAAAAUGUCUUUAAACUCCCACAGCACUUACCACAGCUUGUCUUUUUUGUGGGUUCUAAGUCAAUGCAGCUGCGUUCCCAUAUUGCUUUCACUGCUGCCAGUCUGUCCACACCUAGUUUGGCGGUCUGUUGCUCUCACAAUGGGAUGGGAUGGGAUAGGGUUUAGUUAGGGGAGGGUGCUUGUAGUGCAGGCUUUGGUUGAAGAGGUGCUCCCAAAAAUCUGGACGUUGGCACGUGUGAAUUCGAGACCUGUGUGGGGUGCACCAUUUGAAUAGGAUGCUUUUAUUGGUCCCACAGCGGGGAGAUUUCAGCAGCAGCCAGCUUGACCGGCACCGAAUCCAACAGUGAAAGCAAGUUGCAUUACAAAACAGCCUGUUUUCAACCAGUGGAGCCUGUGUCAACCAGAGCAAUGCAAGGAGCCCCUACCAGGGUGAUGGGGAGCAAAAACCACCCAUGUGCGUCCAGUCCACCACUCUCACAGUCUCCGUGACGUCGUCUACUUCUGGGCAUGACUCCCCUAGCUUGACUGUUUGCCUCCAUCCACAAACAGUAAUGCAGGGUGGGACACGGGAAGAGGGGCCUGCGUCGUCCCAUCUACCCAGACCCAGGUGCAUUUCCCUGCCCACCAGCUUGCUUUGGGCACCUUACGCUGACGUGACCAGCCUGGCCCAGCACACCAGAGGCACACAGCGGGCAAGUGUCACCACAUGGAGGCUGCAGUGACACUGCUCAUACCAGUUCAGGCCCCACCUGUGUUACACCUCUCGCGACGUGGCUGCUUCUAGUGUGAUUGUUUGCAGCAGCUGCUCCCACAGUCUCCCUCUCCGAAGCCACCUCAAGAGCCUCAUGCAGGGUACAUGGGUGUGCCAACUGCGUCUGAAUCUGCAGCUCAUUGGGCAAUAUGGCCCAGAUGAACUGGUCCCUGGCCAGCUCACUCUGUACUUCAUUCAGCAUGUGGGCAUAUGCUCCUCUAGUCAGGGUUUCGAUGUCAUUGGCUAUUGGCCGCAGUGGCUCCCCAGCGCGUCUCAGCAGCUGCCUGUUAGCCAGGUCUGAGUGCACAACACCGGGUCCAUUGUUUAAAACGUCGCUGAAGAGCCCUGACCAGAGCCCCACAGAACCCCUCUUUCAGCUGGGCUAAUGAGCAGCAAACACGAUAAAGCUCCGCCUGUGAGGCACAUGGCCAGCUGAGUGCUUUAAUGUCCUCUGGCCAGCCAACAAAACAAGCUAACAGUUCAAAUAUAUAAAUACAUGUUUUGCUGUUUUUCAUACUUUACUAUACUUUAUUUUGCUGACAGUUUAAUUCACAGGCUGUCUGCAAAAUGCCACACACUUCAAAUUCAUGCCAACUGAUAUUGUUUUUGUAAAGCUUCAAGAAGCUUUGCUCUGGAGUGAGACAAUUUGAUGAAAGGCUUAAAUGAUUCAUAAAGCUUCUGUUGGAAAAAUACUGCAUUUAAUCAUUGAAACAUACUUUGCUGAAGCCUCGUUAGCUGUGCUUUGCCCUUGAAGUUUUCUCCCUUCUGCUCUGCUAGAAAUAGGGAGUACCGGUGUGUAGCAUCCUUAUCUGAUGAGCCCAAUGCUUUGUGUGGAAAAUAUUUCCCACGUACUGUGUGACUAUGCACCUCCCAGAAUGCAAUACAUAUUAUGAGCUGAAUCCUUGUCUUCUCUUCAGUGAAAGGAAGUUGCCUUUGCUGUAAACUGCUCACUCCUUGCAAGUAAAAUCCUGAAGAAGGUCUCAACUGAUUGUGUCUGCUUUAUUUAAGAUUUACAAAGGGAACUUACAAUUUCCCUAACAGCUUCAUCUGCCCAUCACCAGGACGCACAACACCCUUCAUUACUCUA